RNAcentral lists this ribosomal RNA (253 nucleotides) under uncultured bacterium. Its description in RNAcentral is "partial 16S ribosomal RNA". It matches the Rfam family "Bacterial small subunit ribosomal RNA", at positions 524 to 776 of the family's 1533-position model. The record is from RNAcentral.
UACAGAGGGUGCGAGCGUUAAUCGGAAUUACUGGGCGUAAAGCGCACGUAGGCGGCUUAGCAAGUUGGAUGUGAAAGCCCUCGGCUUAACCAAGGAAGUGCAUCCAAAACUGCUGAGCUUGAGUAGUUAAGAGGAUCGCGGAAUUCCCGGUGUAGAGGUGAAAUUCGUAGAUAUCGGGAGGAACACCAGUGGCGAAGGCGGCGAUCUGGGAACAUACUGACGCUGAGGUGCGAAAGCGUGGGGAGCAAACAGG